GGUGUCUUGAAAGAACUUAUUUCUCCCCUUUGAUUAUAGUAAUGCUGGAGAGUAAGCGUGAAGAGGACGUGAGCAAAUUAGAAGACAGCAAAGGUGCUGUUUGGCCUAACUACCACAAGGGGCGCUGUCUCCUAGCCGGGAGGACAGCUGAUUACCCUGAAUGCUGGUGCUGUCUUCUGGAGCUGAAGACCGGUGGGAGUGGAUCCCUCCAGCUCUCCUGGGGGAUGGAGGAGGAGGAAUAGAGGAUUUGUGAGAGGAGGGAGUGGUAAGAGCACAGUCCAUAUUAUGCACUCACAUGCUAUCAUGACUGCACAGAAUGCCCCUUGCAAAGCUCUAAUUGUUUUUCGUUCCUGAAUGCAACAAGGCACAGAUGGCCAAUAAUAAAUAGACCAUCCAGCCCCCUG
RNAcentral lists this long non-coding RNA (404 nucleotides) under Chrysemys picta bellii (western painted turtle). RNAcentral describes it as "lncRNA (ENSCPBG00000024731.1)". The record is from RNAcentral. Lineage: Eukaryota; Metazoa; Chordata; Testudines; Emydidae.